This 307-nucleotide ribosomal RNA is filed under the name uncultured bacterium. RNAcentral's name for it is "bacterial SSU rRNA". It matches the Rfam family "Bacterial small subunit ribosomal RNA", at positions 28 to 334 of the family's 1533-position model. The record is from RNAcentral.
GACGAACGCUGGCGGCGUGCCUAACACAUGCAAGUCGAGCGAUGAAGUUCCUUCGGGAACGGAUUAGCGGCGGACGGGUGAGUAACACGUGGGCAACCUGCCUUAUAGAGGGGAAUAGCCUUCCGAAAGGAAGAUUAAUACCGCAUAAGAUUGUAGCUUCGCAUGAAGUAGCAAUUAAAGGAGCAAUCCGCUAUAAGAUGGGCCCGCGGCGCAUUAGCUAGUUGGUGAGGUAACGGCUCACCAAGGCGACGAUGCGUAGCCGACCUGAGAGGGUGAUCGGCCACAUUGGGACUGAGACACGGCCCAG